This 1248-nucleotide long non-coding RNA is filed under the name Ficedula albicollis (Collared flycatcher). RNAcentral describes it as "lncRNA (ENSFALG00000026511.1)". Lineage: Eukaryota; Metazoa; Chordata; Aves; Passeriformes; Muscicapidae. The record is from RNAcentral.
ACAGGUUGGUUGGUCAGCCUGUGUGAUCCCCAGAACUGGAGAUUUGUGGGUGCAGGAAAGGACUCUGGAGAGUGUCUGAUCCAAGCUCCUUGCUCAUACAGGAGCAGCAGGAAUAGGUUCCUCAGGACCUUCUGGGUUUUGAAUAUCUCUAAGGUUGGGGCCACCACAACUUCUUUGAGCAGCCUGUUCCAUCUUCACAGUAAGAUGUCUUUUUUCUCUGUUUAAACAGAAUUUCCUGUAUUUCAGCCUGUGUCUCCUGCCCCUUCUGUCACCCAGAAGAGUCUGGCUCUCUUCUAUUCCCCUCUGUACAAACUGAUAUGAUCCCCCUGAGCCAUGUCUUUUUAAGUUGACUGACCAGGCUCUCUCAGAUUCUCCUCAUAUGUCAGAUCCUCCAAUCCCAUUGUCAUAAAAUCACAGAAUGUUUUGGGUGGGCAGAGACCUUAAAAAUCAUCUAGUUUGAACCCCCUGCCAUGGGCAGGAGCACCUUCCUCACUCCAUGUCCCUAAUAACACCUAAUAAAAGAACAUGCCACCAAAGAAAACAGCUAUUUACCAUGAGGUGUUAAAAUUCUGCCUCCCAACUCUGGCAUUUAAAGGUCAUCUGUUUCAUGCAAGGUAUAGUGUUAGAGCAGGCAGAAUGAAGUAGCCAUUACAUACCUAAAAUGGAAUCACACAUGGCUCAUGUCAGCCUGAGGAAGAGAAGGGUCCAGGGAGACCUUGGAGCCCCUUCCAGUACCUAAUGAGGCUUCAAGAGAGCUGGAGAGGGACUUGGGAGUGACAGGACAAGGAGCAAUGGCUUCCCAUUGCCAGAGGGCAGAGUUAGAUGUGAUAUUGGGAAAGAACAAGUGGUGAGGCCCUGGCACGGAUUGCCCACAGAAGCUGCGGCUGCUGCAUCCCUGGAAGUGUCUCAAGGCCAGCUUGGAUGGAGCUUGGAGAGGAACAGUGGAAGGUGUCCCUGGCAAGGAAUAGAAUGAGAUGGGCUUUAAGGUUCCUUCCCAUUCAAACCAUUCUGGAAUUCUGUGAUUCCUGUGGGUCGUGAGUGGGAAGAGCCAUGGGCACAGCAGUCAUCCCAGAAGGCUGGGUGCUGCAGCUCUGAGCGCUCCCAAUCCCAGGGAUCCAUGAGGGGAUCCACGAGGGGAUCCACGAGGGGACCCAUGAGGGGAUCCAUGAGGGGAUCCAUGAGGGAAACCGUGAGGGAAUCCAUGAAGGGAUCCUGAGAGGAUCCAUGAGGGGAUCCAUGAAGGGAUCC